GGCGAGCGAAAGCGGAUGGUGGCUAAACCGUGUCCGUGUCAAGCCGGCAGGUGUUGCGGAUGCGGGGUUGUGGGAUGUUGUCGUCGAUCUUCUGCCGAGGGUCGGACGGUCUUGUGUGUGUGUUAGCGGAACAUCUCUGGGAUGGAUGGCCGUAGUGGGUGAGAGCCCCGUACGCGAAAACAUGCGCCGAGUCGUGGACAGCACUCCCGAGUAGCAGCGAGCUCGU
RNAcentral lists this ribosomal RNA (226 nucleotides) under Leptocylindrus danicus. RNAcentral's name for it is "partial Bacterial large subunit ribosomal RNA". It matches the Rfam family "Bacterial large subunit ribosomal RNA", at positions 248 to 427 of the family's 2925-position model. The record is from RNAcentral. Lineage: Eukaryota; Bacillariophyta; Leptocylindrophyceae; Leptocylindrales; Leptocylindraceae.